Molecule: unclassified non-coding RNA, 471 nt
Filed under: Hevea brasiliensis (rubber tree)
Lineage: Eukaryota; Viridiplantae; Streptophyta; Magnoliopsida; Malpighiales; Euphorbiaceae
Source: RNAcentral
AACAGUCUUAAGCUUACUUCUUUUUUUUUUCACCCUUUAAAUCUAACUAUGGACACAUAACAUUCUUUUGAUGUUUUAGCUAUCCUUCUUUCUGUCAAACUAUAUUCUACUUUUUGCAGUUGCAUCAUCAUGCCGAAAAUAAUGCAGAAAGUUGCAAAUUAGGGAAUAGGCAUAUUAUGAAUUAUGAUUAUGGAAUCACACAAUGCUGGCAAGAUAAAAACCACCACAUGCACUGAUUGCACUGAUUUCCUAUAUAGAAGAAGGGCGACAAAUUGGUGAAUGCACAGAGAAUUAAGCAUAGAACAACUUGCUAGGGAAUUCCAAAUAUAAUUAUACUUUCUAUAUAAAAAAGGACCAAUAACUCAUAACAUGACAAAUACCUCGUCCAUCUGUUGAGCAAGUCUUGAUUGUUAAAAUAUCACUUAAAAUUUGCAUCUUUAGAACAUUUGGAACGAUUUCGUAGUUUUCUCA